Molecule: ribosomal RNA, 406 nt
Filed under: uncultured Haloquadratum sp.
Lineage: Archaea; Methanobacteriati; Methanobacteriota; Halobacteria; Halobacteriales; Haloferacaceae
Description: bacterial SSU rRNA
Rfam family: Archaeal small subunit ribosomal RNA
Source: RNAcentral
ACAAGGGCUGGGCAAGACCGGUGCCAGCCGCCGCGGUAAUACCGGCAGCCCGAGUGAUGGCCGAUAUUAUUGGGCCUAAAGCGUCCGUAGCUGCUGCGCAAGUCCGUCGGGAAAUCCACUCGCCCAACGAGUGGGCGUCCGACGGAAACUGCACAGCUUGGGACCGGAAGGCUCGAAGGGUACGUUCGGGGUAGGAGUGAAAUCCCAUAAUCCCGCACGGACCACCGAUGGCGAAAGCACUUCGAGAAAACGGAUCCGACAGUGAGGGACGAAAGCUCGGGUCUCCAACCGGAUUAGAUACCCGGGUAGUCCGAGCCGUAAACAAUGCUCGUUAGGUGUGGCACCCACUACGAGUGGGUGCUGUGCCGUAGGGAAGCCGCUAAACGAGCCGCCUGGGAAGUACGUC